This 1123-nucleotide ribosomal RNA is filed under the name uncultured bacterium. RNAcentral describes it as "bacterial SSU rRNA". It matches the Rfam family "Bacterial small subunit ribosomal RNA", at positions 47 to 1162 of the family's 1533-position model. The record is from RNAcentral.
AUUGAUUUUAUGCUUGCAUAAAUGAUUUUUGGAUUCGGAGCGAGUGGCGAACUGGUGAGUAACACGUGGGUAACCUGCCCCGAAGCGGGGGAUAACAUUUGGAAACAAGUGCUAAUACCGCAUAAUUAGUUGGAACCGCAUGGUUCCAACUUGAAAGAUGGCUCUGCUAUCACUUUGGGAUGGACCCGCGCCGUAUUAGUUAGUUGGUGAGAUAAAAGCCCACCAAGACGAUGAUACGUAGCCGACCUGAGAGGGUAAUCGGCCACAUUGGGACUGAGACACGGCCCAGACUCCUACGGGAGGCAGCAGUAGGGAAUCUUCCACAAUGGACGAAAGUCUGAUGGAGCAACGCCGCGUGAGUGAUGAAGGUUUUCGGAUCGUAAAACUCUGUUGUUAAAGAAGAACAAGUGUUAGAGUAACUGUUAACACUUUGACGGUAUUUAACCAGAAAGCCACGGCCAACUACGUGCCAGCAGCCGCGGUAAUACGUAGGUGGCAAGCGUUGUCCGGAUUUAUUGGGCGUAAAGCGGGCGCAGGCGGUUUUGUAAGUCUGCUGUGAAAGCCCUCAGCUCAACUGAGGAAGUGCAGUGGAAACUACAAAACUUGAGUACAGAAGAGGAAAGUGGAACUCCAUGUGUAGCGGUGAAAUGCGUAGAUAUAUGGAAGAACACCAGUGGCGAAGGCGGCUUUCUGGUCUGUUACUGACGCUGAGGCUCGAAAGCAUGGGUAGCGAACAGGAUUAGAUACCCUGGUAGUCCAUGCCGUAAACGAUGGAUACUAGGUGUUGGAGGGUUUCCGCCCUUCAGUGCCGCAGCUAACGCAUUAAGUAUUCCGCCUGGGGAGUACGACCGCAAGGUUGAAACUCAAAGGAAUUGACGGGGGCCCGCACAAGUGGUGGAGCAUGUGGUUUAAUUCGAUGCUACGCGAAGAACCUUACCAGCUCUUGACAUCUUCUGCCAACCCAAGAGAUUGGGCGUUCCCUUCGGGGACAGAAUGACAGGUGGUGCAUGGUUGUCGUCAGCUCGUGUCGUGAGAUGUUGGGUUAAGUCCCGCAACGAGCGCAACCCUUAUUACUAGUUGCCAGCAUUUAGUUGGGCACUCUAGUGAGACUGCCGGUGAUAAA